AUGCUCAAGUUCGCUCAUCCCUUUCUACUUACUGUGUUUUUCUUAAUGGUUUUCUCAUUGCCUGGAAGGCAAAGAAACAGAUUGUGUUUUUCCCUUUUGAGUGCAGAGGCUGAGUUGCAAGCUAUAACCCUAUUGACAACAGAGGUGACUUGGUUACGAUGGUUGCUUGAGGAUUUUGGUGUUUUUGUCACUAGACCCACGCCUUUCUUGUCAGACGAUGAGGAUUUUGGUGUUGAUGUCCUUUGUGUGCUCCAAUGUGCAGGAUCAGAUAAUUGCUCUUUAGUAUGUGCCUUUCGAUUUACGCUUGGUUCGUUUCUUCACAAAGACUCAGACAAAGCACGACACAUCUCUCCAAACCCGGUGUCGUUCAUUAACGACCUUGAGGAUUUUGGUGUUUCUAUCACUACAUUACUCCUUUCUUGUCACACCAAACAGUAUAUUUGCUAUCAGGAUUGCACUUCACCAUAUGAAGCAUGA
This 477-nucleotide ribosomal RNA is filed under the name Triticum aestivum (bread wheat). RNAcentral's name for it is "partial small subunit ribosomal RNA". Lineage: Eukaryota; Viridiplantae; Streptophyta; Magnoliopsida; Poales; Poaceae. The record is from RNAcentral.